Molecule: non-coding RNA, 193 nt
Filed under: Pseudomonas amygdali pv. lachrymans str. M301315
Lineage: Bacteria; Pseudomonadati; Pseudomonadota; Gammaproteobacteria; Pseudomonadales; Pseudomonadaceae
Also listed under: 1 other name
Description: Pseudomonas syringae pv. lachrymans str. M301315 RT-15 RNA
Rfam family: RT-15 RNA
About the family: Proteobacteria. Nearby to self-splicing intron genes
Source: Rfam by way of RNAcentral
CCGCGCCCGCUACCUGAGAGUCAUGGCUAUCAGGUCUGUGCGAUUUGAAUCUGGUCGUGCCGCUGGCCUUAUAGGCCACCGCCAUGCGCAUCAAAGAUACCGACGGUCUAAAGCGUCCGUGCAGGUCUUGCGCAGUUUCCCCGCUGAUCGGCCCCGGCCUUUGGCGAGGUGACGUAGAUAGCACGAUAGGUCG